UCGCGAAACCUCCGCAAUACACGAAAGUGUGACGGGGUUACCCAAAGUGUUCAAUUUUGAACUGUGGUAGGUGAGUAAUGUUCCCUACUAGAAAGGAGAGGGCAAGGCUGGUGCCAGCCGCCGCGGUAAAACCAGCUCUCCAAGUGGUCGGGAUAAUUAUUGGGCUUAAAGUGUCCGUAGCCGGUUUGGUAAGUUCCUGGUAAAAUCGGGUAGCUUAACUAUCUAUAUGCUAGGAAUACUACUAUACUAGAGGGCGGGAGAGGUCUGAGGUACUGCAGGGGUAGGG
This 286-nucleotide ribosomal RNA is filed under the name uncultured archaeon. RNAcentral describes it as "partial 16S ribosomal RNA". It matches the Rfam family "Archaeal small subunit ribosomal RNA", at positions 339 to 631 of the family's 1478-position model. The record is from RNAcentral.